Molecule: ribosomal RNA, 406 nt
Filed under: uncultured bacterium
Lineage: Bacteria
Description: partial 16S ribosomal RNA
Rfam family: Bacterial small subunit ribosomal RNA
Source: RNAcentral
AUUGAACGCUGGCGGCAGGCCUAACACAUGCAAGUCGAGCGAGGGGCGGACGGGUGAGUAAUGUAUGGGGAUCUGCCCGAUAGAAGGGGAUAACUACUGGAAACUGUAGCUAAUACCGCGUACAAUAGGAUGAGCCAAAGUGGGAUGAGGUAGUUGGGGAGGUAAAGGCCCACCAAGCCGACGAUCUCUAGCCGGUCUGAGAGGAUGACCAGCCACACUGGGACUGAGACACGGCCCAGACGCCUACGGGAGGCAGCAGUGGGGAAUAUUGCGCAAUGGGGGCAACUCUGACGCAGCCAUGCCGCGUGAAUGAAGAAGACCUUCGGGUUGUAAAGUACUUUCAUCGAGGAGGCGGUACUCGAAGAAAAAGCACCGGCUAACUCCGUGCCAGCAGCCGCGGUAAUUC